RNAcentral lists this ribosomal RNA (689 nucleotides) under uncultured Staphylococcus sp. Its description in RNAcentral is "bacterial SSU rRNA". It matches the Rfam family "Bacterial small subunit ribosomal RNA", at positions 63 to 738 of the family's 1533-position model. The record is from RNAcentral. Lineage: Bacteria; Bacillati; Bacillota; Bacilli; Caryophanales; Staphylococcaceae.
CGAACAGACGAGGAGCUUGCUCCUCUGACGUUAGCGGCGGACGGGUGAGUAACACGUGGAUAACCUACCUAUAAGACUGGGAUAACUUCGGGAAACCGGAGCUAAUACCGGAUAAUAUAUUGAACCGCAUGGUUCAAUAGUGAAAGACGGUUUUGCUGUCACUUAUAGAUGGAUCCGCGCCGCAUUAGCUAGUUGGUAAGGUAACGGCUUACCAAGGCAACGAUGCGUAGCCGACCUGAGAGGGUGAUCGGCCACACUGGAACUGAGACACGGUCCAGACUCCUACGGGAGGCAGCAGUAGGGAAUCUUCCGCAAUGGGCGAAAGCCUGACGGAGCAACGCCGCGUGAGUGAUGAAGGUCUUCGGAUCGUAAAACUCUGUUAUUAGGGAAGAAUAAAUGUGUAAGUAACUAUGCACGUCUUGACGGUACCUAAUCAGAAAGCCACGGCUAACUACGUGCCAGCAGCCGCGGUAAUACGUAGGUGGCAAGCGUUAUCCGGAAUUAUUGGGCGUAAAGCGCGCGUAGGCGGUUUUUUAAGUCUGAUGUGAAAGCCCACGGCUCAACCGUGGAGGGUCAUUGGAAACUGGAAAACUUGAGUGCAGAAGAGGAAAGUGGAAUUCCAUGUGUAGCGGUGAAAUGCGCAGAGAUAUGGAGGAACACCAGUGGCGAAGGCGACUUUCUGGUCUGUA